RNAcentral lists this ribosomal RNA (400 nucleotides) under uncultured bacterium. RNAcentral's name for it is "bacterial SSU rRNA". It matches the Rfam family "Bacterial small subunit ribosomal RNA", at positions 355 to 751 of the family's 1533-position model. The record is from RNAcentral.
UGAGGAAUAUUGGUCAAUGGGCGCGAGCCUGAACCAGCCAAGUAGCGUGAAGGAUGACUGCCCUAUGGGUUGUAAACUUCUUUUGUCCGGGAAUAAAACCGCCUACGUGUAGGCGCUUGUAUGUACCGGUACGAAUAAGCAUCGGCUAACUCCGUGCCAGCAGCCGCGGUAAUACGUAGGCGGCAAGCGUUGUCCGGAAUUAUUGGGCGUAAAGGGAGCGCAGGCGGGAAACUAAGCGGAUCUUAAAAGUGCGGGGCUCAACCUUAAAAUUGCAGUUGAUACUGGAGACCUUGAGUGCAGUUGAGGCAGGCGGAAUUCGUGGUGUAGCGGUGAAAUGCUUAGAUAUCACGAAGAACUCCGAUUGCGAAGGCAGCUUGCUAAAGUGUAACUGACGUUCAUG